Molecule: long non-coding RNA, 246 nt
Filed under: Olea europaea subsp. europaea
Lineage: Eukaryota; Viridiplantae; Streptophyta; Magnoliopsida; Lamiales; Oleaceae
Source: RNAcentral
GCCCCCCAGGGCACAUUCAAGUUGGCGGAACAAUCACAUUGGGGGGCUCUGAAACCAAGCGUGGGGAGUUCGAUUCCUGGCGGGAACCUUUGAUCCAAUAAAGGAGGAAUUAUUGGUGGAUUAAUCACCAUGGAGGAGGCUCCCUUUGGGGAAGGAGUAAAAGUCAUGUGGGAACCUGGGAACCAACAAGGGCACAUCCUGUGAUUUACCUCCCUGAGCAGCUGAGGGGCCGGAGGUUCAGGGACG